Molecule: non-coding RNA, 206 nt
Organism: Oryza glaberrima (African rice)
Lineage: Eukaryota; Viridiplantae; Streptophyta; Magnoliopsida; Poales; Poaceae
Source: Rfam
UUUAAGUGCAGCCAUGAGUUUUUUUUCCCAACUUUGAUCAUCCGUCUUAUUUUAAAUUUUUUUUAUAAUUAGUAUUUUUGUUGUUAUAAGAUGAUAAAACAUGAAUAAUACUUUAUUCGUGAUUUAUGUUUUUAAAUUUUUGUAAAAAAUUUUUAAAUAAGAUGGACGAUCAAAGUCGAGCACAAAAAAGUAUAGUUGCACUUGAA